This 301-nucleotide ribosomal RNA is filed under the name uncultured bacterium. Its description in RNAcentral is "partial 16S ribosomal RNA". It matches the Rfam family "Bacterial small subunit ribosomal RNA", at positions 509 to 809 of the family's 1533-position model. The record is from RNAcentral.
CAGUCGCCGCGGGAAUACGUAGGGUGCAAGCGUUGUCCGGAAUUAUUGGGCGUAAAGAGCGUGUAGGCGGCUCGACAAGUCCGCUGUGAAAGUCCAGGGCUCAACCCUGGAAUGCCGGUGGAUACUGUCGAGCUAGAGUCCGGAAGGGGCGAGUGGAACUCCUGGUGUAGCGGUGAAAUGCGCAGAUAUCAGGAAGAACACCAAUGGCGAAGGCAGCUCGCUGGGACGUGACUGACGCUGAGACGCGAAAGCGUGGGGAGCGAACAGGAUUAGAUACCCCGGUAGUCCCUGUCUUCUUAUU